UAGUCCACGCCCUAAACUAUGAUUACUCGAUAUAUGCGAUACACUGUAUGUGUCCAAGCGAAAGCGUUAAGUAAUCCACCUGGGGAGUACGAUCGCAAGAUUGAAACUCAAAGGAAUUGACGGGGGUCCGCACAAGCGGGGGAGCAUGUGGUUUAAUUCGAUGAUACGCGAGGAACCUUACCUGGGCUAGAAUGCUUCUUGACCGUUCCCGAAAGGGAUCUUACCAGUUUACUGGACAGGAUGCAAGGUGCUGCAUGGUUGUCGUCAGCUCGUGCCGUGAGGUGUUGGGUUAAGUCCCGCAACGAGCGCAACCCCUAUCCUUAGUUGCCAGCGGAUCAUGCCGGGGACUCUAAGGAAACUGCCUACGCAAGUAGUGAGGAAGGCGGGGAUGACGUCAAAUCAUCAUGGGCCUUUAUGCCCAGGGGCUACACACAUGCUACAAUGGAUGGGUACAAAGAGCAGCGAGCUGGGCGACAGUAAGCGAAUCUCAAAAAAGCCAAUUC
This 503-nucleotide ribosomal RNA is filed under the name uncultured bacterium. RNAcentral's name for it is "bacterial SSU rRNA". It matches the Rfam family "Bacterial small subunit ribosomal RNA", at positions 791 to 1287 of the family's 1533-position model. The record is from RNAcentral.